Molecule: ribosomal RNA, 460 nt
Filed under: uncultured bacterium
Lineage: Bacteria
Description: partial 16S ribosomal RNA
Rfam family: Bacterial small subunit ribosomal RNA
Source: RNAcentral
CCUACGGGAGGCAGCAGUGAGGAAUAUUGGUCAAUGGACGAGAGUCUGAACCAGCCAAGUAGCGUGAAGGAUGACUGCCCUAUGGGUUGUAAACUUCUUUUAUAUGGGAAUAAAAUGUUCCACGUGUGGGCUUUUGUAUGUACCCUAUGAAUAAGGACUGGCUAACUCCGUGCCAGCAGCCGCGGUAAUACGGAGUAUCCGAGCGUUAUCCGGAUUUAUUGGGUUUAAAGGGAGCGUAGGUGGAUUGUUAAGUCAGUUGUGAAAGUUUGCGGCUCAACCGUAAAAUUGCAGUUGAAACUGGCAGUCUUGAGUACAGUAGAGGUGGGCGGAAUGCGUGGUGUAGCGGUGAAAUGCUUAGAUAUCACGAAGAACUCCGAUUGCGAAGGCAGCUCACUGGACUGCAACUGACACUGAGGCUCGAAAGUGUGGGUAUCAAACAGGAUUAGAUACCCGAGUAGUC